This 562-nucleotide ribosomal RNA is filed under the name uncultured bacterium. RNAcentral's name for it is "partial 16S ribosomal RNA". It matches the Rfam family "Bacterial small subunit ribosomal RNA", at positions 355 to 1375 of the family's 1533-position model. The record is from RNAcentral.
UGGGGAAUAUUGCACAAUGGGCGAAAGCCUGAUGCAGCAACGCCGCGUGAGUGAUGAAGGCCUUCGGGUUGUAAAGCUCUGUCUUUUGGGACGAUAAUGACGGUACCAAAGGAGGAAGCCACGGCUAGCUACGUGCCAGCAGCCGCGGUAAUACGUAGGUGGCAAGCGUUGUCCGGAUUUACUGGGCGUAAAGGAUGCGUAGGCGGAUUUUUAAGUGAGGUGUGAAAACCCUAAGCUUAACUUGGGGACUGCAUUUCAUACUGGAAAUCUAGAGUGCGGGAGAGGAGAAUGGAAUUCCUAGUGUAGCGGUGAAAUGCGUAGAGAUUAGGAAGAACACCAGUGGCGAAGGCGAUUCUCUGGACCGUAACUGACGCUGAGGCAUGAAAGCGUGGGUAGCAAACAGGAUUAGAUACCCUGGUAGUCCACGCCGUAAACGAUGAGUACUAGGUGUAGGAGGUAUCGACCCCUUCUGUGCCGCAGUUAACACAAUAAGUACUCCGCCUGGGAAGUACGAUCGCAAGAUUAAAACUCAAAUGAAUUGACGGGGUCAUAGCUGUUUCCU